Molecule: ribosomal RNA, 450 nt
Filed under: uncultured organism
Description: partial 16S ribosomal RNA
Rfam family: Bacterial small subunit ribosomal RNA
Source: RNAcentral
ACUCCUACGGGAGGCAGCAGUGGGGAAUAUUGGACAAUGGGCGCAAGCCUGAUCCAGCCAUGCCGCGUGAGUGAUGAAGGCCCUAGGGUUGUAAAGCUCUUUCACCGGUGAAGAUAAUGACGGUAACCGGAGAAGAAGCCCCGGCUAACUUCGUGCCAGCAGCCGCGGUAAUACGAAGGGGGCUAGCGUUGUUCGGAUUUACUGGGCGUAAAGCGCACGUAGGCGGACUAUUAAGUCAGGGGUGAAAUCCCGGGGCUCAACCCCGGAACUGCCUUUGAUACUGGUAGUCUUGAGUUCGAGAGAGGUGAGUGGAAUUCCGAGUGUAGAGGUGAAAUUCGUAGAUAUUCGGAGGAACACCAGUGGCGAAGGCGGCUCACUGGCUCGAUACUGACGCUGAGGUGCGAAAGCGUGGGGAGCAAACAGGAUUAGAUACCCCUGUAGUCCCAUGAU